Molecule: long non-coding RNA, 2162 nt
Organism: Phacochoerus africanus (Common warthog)
Lineage: Eukaryota; Metazoa; Chordata; Mammalia; Artiodactyla; Suidae
Exons: 3
Source: RefSeq, a predicted model, not a curated record
UCCUCUCCCCACCCCCAUCAUCCUCUCUCACCUCCUCCUUCUCAUCUUCCUAGAGAGUGGGGGCGACUCAGUGGGAUCCAGACACAGUGAGACAAAUGCUACCCAGGCCGGUAACCAAGGAAGUGGUUUCCUUAGCAACAGAAUCUGCAGGCACGCGCUCCGCUGCCCAUCCCUUAAUAAGUACGGAGGGUGGGGACAAGCCUGGAGAUAGGGAGGUCAGUAAAGACACUGCUGUACUGGUCUUCUUGACAGGGGACAGUGGUCAGGGACUAGCUCAAUGCCUGGCACUUUGAGAAUGUUUAAAAAUAUGAGAGUUGGAGGGGUUGUGGGGUCAGAGAGAGGCAGAGAGAGUGGAGAUAGCUGGGGGAGGAAUCCACAGAACUUGAUGACAGACUGGAUGCAGGGAGGGGGAGGUGGCAAAGAAGCCAAAGGGACACCAAGAUACUGUCUGCGCAUCUCCAGAAAGGUGUCUUUUGAUGGAGAUGGAGAACACGGAACCGAGGCGCAGAUUGGAUGGGGUGGGGGAAGCUGACAUAUCUCCAUGUCCCGAAGAGCUCACCAUCCAGUUGGGGUGACAUUGGGAGAGGGAACGUGGAAACAGACACAGAAAUAUCUCAAUUUUUUUCUAUAAAUUGGCAAUAGGGAACCCAGGAGAAAAAGCACAGCACUGAGGAUGGUGAGAGGCUCCAGGACGCUGAUGGUGUGGUGCAGCCCAUUCAUACUGGCUCUCAAAAGCACAUCUCUUCUCAAAGUCAUACUCAGUGCCAUCACAUUGCUAGCUUGAAGUUGGCUGUGGUGAGAAUAUUUACACCAUGGAAAUUGGCAACUGCUACAAAUCAGGCUAAAUGGACUAAGGCCACUGGGUCCUGAUGGGAGGCUGACAGGAACCUGACCUGGGGAAAAAUCACACCCCAUUCCUCCUCUUGGUUUGCAUCCUGGAAUGCCAGCCAUCCACCCUUCUUCUGCCUCCUAGGGCUGUAGAGAAAAUGUUUAAUUAAUAAACACAACUUCAAAACAAGCUAAAGUUAAAGAGCAAUGUUUAAGUGCUAAUUAUUGUUAUCAGAGGCUACUUUCCACGGCAUUAAAUGCAUGGAUUUGGUAAUUGUUAGAUAAUGCCCAAAGAGGAACCAGGGGUAUUAGGAUUGCCUCUUUCCCCAGAAAAGGACCCAGUUCCUAAGCCACAGGAUGGCCAUCUCAUCGGUCUCGGAGCCUGGAUGAGAUAUUUUUACCUUCCCAGGCUCAAGUCCCAGAUCUGCCACUUGCCAGGUGUGUGGCCUUACAGAUAUUAUUUUAUAGUCCUGAACAUCAGUUUUCUGUUCUAGAAAAUGAGACAUCUAUAUGGAGUGCCUGACCCCUGAAGGGUUUUAAUUUUUGUCGUCGUCAAUAUUAGUAUUUCUCCCACCAUGGGCUGAGCAUUUUCUUUUGGUUUUUGAUCAGCUUUACUGAAGUAUAUUUCACAUAUAGCAGAAUUUUCCAGUUUCAGCUGUAUAAUUUGAUGAAUUUUUAAGUCGCCAUAUAUAGUCAUGUCACCACCACCAUCAUGCUAUGAAAUAUUACCAUUUCCCCCCAAAUUCUUUGGUACCCUUUGCAGUUGACUCCUUCCCUCCACCCCUCCAUAGUCUCCUGCAAAUACUAGUCUGCUUUCUGUCAUUAUAAUUUCUCAGGAUUUCAUGUAAAUUGAAUCAAACAGGUCUUGCUUCUCUCAGCUAGCAUAAGGCUUUUGAGAUUUAUUUUCAUUGUUGCAUAUACAAAUAGUUCAGUUCUUUUCACUGCCGAGCAUUAGUCCAUUGUAUGGACAUACCAAAAAUUUUAAUGCAUUCACUAGUUGAUAGCAGUUUGAAUUCCGUCCAGUUUUUGGCUAUUUGAACAAAGCUGCUACAAAUGUUCACAUGUGUGUCUUUGUGUGGACAUAAUAUUUUCAUUUUCUUCAGUAGGUACCUAGGGAUGCACUUGGCUGCCAGGUCACAAGUUAAAUAGAUGUUUAGCUUUAAUAAGAGAUGCUGCCAAACUUUUCCAAAGAGGCUGUACCAUUUUGUAUUCCCUCCAGGAGUGUAUGAGAUUUCAUUUGUUAACAUCUUCACCAAUCCUUUGUAUUGCCAGUCUUUUUACUUUCUGAUAUUCUCGUGGGUAUGAGUGGUAUCUCACUGUGGUUUGAAUUUGCA